CGAAGAGCGACCUCCGGAAGCUCAAAGGGACGCUAAAGAAUCCAUACGCUGUGAGCGAACAGGAAGCGAACGAAGAGAAGAGCUGGACGGGCCGGUUCGGCAAGAACGUCAAAAAAAUUGAGUUGCCUGAUGACAAAGACCUGAAGAAGAAAGAGAAGCAGCGUCUGGAGAAGGAGAAGAAGGA
Long non-coding RNA from Pseudoliparis swirei, 184 nucleotides. RefSeq lists it as uncharacterized. The transcript has 4 exons. The record is from RefSeq and is a predicted model, not a curated record. Lineage: Eukaryota; Metazoa; Chordata; Actinopteri; Perciformes; Liparidae.